UACGAAGGGGGCUAGCGUUGCUCGGAAUCACUGGGCGUAAAGCGCACGUAGGCGGAUCGUUAAGUCAGGGGUGAAAUCCUGGAGCUCAACUCCAGAACUGCCUUUGAUACUGGCGACCUUGAGUUCGGGAGAGGUGAGUGGAACUGCGAGUGUAGAGGUGAAAUUCGUAGAUAUUCGCAAGAACACCAAUGGCGAAGGCAGCUCGCUGGGACGGUACUGACGCUGAGGCGCGAAAGCGUGGGGAGCAAACAGG
Molecule: ribosomal RNA, 253 nt
Filed under: uncultured bacterium
Lineage: Bacteria
Description: partial 16S ribosomal RNA
Rfam family: Bacterial small subunit ribosomal RNA
Source: RNAcentral